This 1734-nucleotide long non-coding RNA is filed under the name Homo sapiens (human). RNAcentral's name for it is "non-protein coding FRMD6-AS1:3". Lineage: Eukaryota; Metazoa; Chordata; Mammalia; Primates; Hominidae. The record is from RNAcentral.
AGCUGCGCGCUGAGCUCGCGGCAGUACGGGGAGCGCCCGCCCGCCCCGCCCUGGACCCAACCAAGCGUCCCGCGGAGGGGUGCGGCCACUUGGGGGCAGGAGAAAGCGGAGUACGCCACCCCUCUAGGGACCCAGGAAGCGAGGCGAGCCUCAGGUGGACGCGGUGGUGUGGACCACGGCGAUCAGGGCCUUUCCCCCUGCUGUGGAGACGGAGGUGCGAGGGGACGCCGGCGGCUCCCCACCUUCUGGCCGAGUGGCCUUCUCCGCCUCCGGCUGGACUCCCUCGGGGCGCUCCCUCCAGAGCCGAGUCGGGCUGGCCGGGGGCGGCUGUUUGGCCUGAGUGUCGUCUUACUAAAGCGGAACGCCGGAGGGGAGGCCACUCCGAGAGAAGGCGGUCCCCGGCGGAGGUGGCUUCGUGAAUCCUGCAGCCCCCUGCCCGCCCGCCACUCGAGACGCCGCGCCUCGUGGGUUUCACGCUGGAUGGAGGGGGCGCCGCCGAGGAUGCCCAGCCUCCCCCUCUAAUUCUACCUCUCCAGUUCCUCAGGGGGAUCCAGAGAAGAUGAGUUAAAUUGGAAUGGACUUGAAAAAACUGAUUUAGUUGGAUUUAUGGAUCACAGUCAUGAAAAGGUAAAGAUACCAACUUGUUUUGUGAAUUUAAUCUUUAUUCCUUACUUUUUUGCCCCUACUGUUUGUAAUUCCUACUUUAUAAUGAAAUCCUUCUUGUGACUUAUAGAAAUUAACUGGGGAAAAUGUUUUUCUGUUCUCCAUUUCCUUUAAGUUUGUUUUUAGAUACACUGCAUUGCAAGUAUGUGUGGUACAGUAAAAUGUUGCUAAUUGUAUCUGCGCUGAUAAGAUGCCAUUUGCUCUAGGUCAGUUUCCUACCCCCUCCCCCAACUAUUCCUAGCCAGUGGUAGCAUGCUUCUUACUUCCAAAUAUAUGUGUGUGUGUGUGUGUGUGUGUGUGUGUGUGUGUGCCUGUGUGUAUCAACAAUGUGAUCCUAAAAUAAAAGAAUGACAUAUAUUUGACAUUAUUUACAUACUAAAUAUGGGAGCACAUAAAUCAAUUACAGAAUAAAAUCAAUUUUUCAAGGAUUUUGAUGUAAUGGUUUUUAUUCAAAAUGUUUCUUCCUUUCCUUAGGUAGAAUUUUCUGCCAAUUAUUUUAAAGAAAAAUGAAGAUUUAUUUUUUAAAUGUGAAAUGCAGUUUUUUUCUCUUUUUUGAGACAGGGUCACGCUCCGUCACCCAGGCUGGAGUGCAGUGGCAGGAUUACAACUCACUGCAGCCUUGACCUCCCAGGCUCAAGCAAUCCUCCCACUUCAGCCUCCCACGUAGUUGGAACUAUAGGUGUACACCACCAUGCCCAGCUAAUUAUUAUUAUUUGUAGAGACAGGGUCUCCCUGUGUUGCCCAGACUGGUCUCAAACUCCUGGGCUUAAGCCAUCCUCCCACCUCAACCUCCCAAAGUGCUGGGAUUACAGGCAUGAGCCACUGUGCCCAGCCUACAAUUACUAUUUACUUAAAAUGUUUAUUAAUGUGAGAAAAUGUUUCAGAAUGAAUCUGGUCUUUUUUCUCUACAGUGGCCUCACCCUUACUUUUCUUUCUUAGCCCUCUUGGGAAAGGGGCUCCCUGCUUCUCCCCUCACGUCACCCCUCUCACAGUGCUUAAUGGGGACCUAUAAACAACAACUCCGUGGCCCCGGGGAAACAAGCACCUUACCUUGUAACAACGAAGACCUUU